AGUGAACGCUGGCGGCAGGCCUAACACAUGCAAGUCGAACGGCAGCACAGUGGAGCUUGCUCCAUGGGUGGCGAGUGGCGGACGGGUGAGGAAUACACCGGAAUCUGCCCAGUCGUGGGGGAUAACAUAGGGAAACUUAUGCUAAUACCGCAUACGACCUACGGGUGAAAGCGGGGGAUCGCAAGACCUCGCGCGAUUGGAUGAGCCGAUGUCCGAUUAGCUAGUUGGGGGGGUAAUGGCCCACUAAGGCGACGAUCGGUAGCUGGUCUGUGAGGAUGGUCAGGCACCCUUGAACGGAGAGACGGUCCAGACUCCUACGGGAGGCAGCGGUGGGGAAUAUUGGACAAUGGGGGCAAGCCUGAUCCAGCCAUGCCGCGUGGGUGAAGAAGGCCUUCGGGUUGUAAAGCCCUUUUGUCCGGAAAGAAACGCCUCGGAUUAAUACUCUGGGGUAAUGACGGUACCGGAAGAAUAAGCACCGGCUAACUUCGUGCCAGCCGCCGCCGUAA
RNAcentral lists this ribosomal RNA (506 nucleotides) under uncultured bacterium. RNAcentral's name for it is "partial 16S ribosomal RNA". It matches the Rfam family "Bacterial small subunit ribosomal RNA", at positions 29 to 523 of the family's 1533-position model. The record is from RNAcentral.